Ziziphus jujuba (common jujube) is the source of this 1538-nucleotide RNA transcript. It is a transcript of the gene named ABSCISIC ACID-INSENSITIVE 5-like protein 1, with no coding region annotated. NCBI's taxonomy places the organism in Eukaryota, Viridiplantae, Streptophyta, Magnoliopsida, Rosales, Rhamnaceae. The transcript is spliced from 5 exons. The record is from RefSeq and is a predicted model, not a curated record.
GAAGAAAGGAGGCACAUGGCAGUGAACGUGUCAAAUAAAACCGAACACAAAAAAGUGAGGCACCGAAUAAAACCAAAUGUUAAAGGUGGCACUGGCAGUUACACUCUUCUCUUCACCCUCCCUCCCCUCCUAAUUCCCUCUCUACUCUCUUCUCUUUCUUUCACACCUGCACAGCCAGAUCAACUUCAGCUUUGGAGGGUUUACAAGUUCAAUCCUAGUUUGCUCUCCUUUGAAGAAGCUGUGAAAAUGGAAAUUUCGGAAUCACAAGGUGUUGGAUAUGGAAACAUUGCCACCAAUGGCAAUGGCAAUAUCAAACCAGAACCAUCACCCCAAGAUCAACCACAAGAAGAAGAUCAACCAUCCAAAGACGGUUCAUUGUCUUCUCUCCAUAAGCAAAACUCAAUCUUCUCACUCACCUUUGAUGAGAUUCGAUGCAAGAGUGGGAGGAGUUUUGGGUCGAUGAACAUGGAUGAAUUUCUUGCAAACAUUUGGAGUGUGGAAGAAAAUGAAGUCCCUAAUUCACAGCUCAACCAGGAUGAACCACCAGUAGAAGCUGCCCCACAUGAAAGAAAAAGCAAUACUGAUGCUGCUGCAGCACAACCAGGCAGUCUUGCUAGACAAGGCUCUUUCUCCAUUCCCAUCCCACUCUGCAAGAAAACCGUCGACGAAGUUUGGUUUGAGAUCCACAAGGAUCGGCCUCCGCCACUGCAAGAGGCGAACAACAAUUUCCCUUGUUUCGGUCCUCAACGCCAACAAACACUAGGAGAGAUGACCCUGGAAGAUUUCCUUGUCAAAGCUGGGGUUGUUCAAGAGUCAUCAAACAGGGCUUCUCGAAACAGAACGGUGACACAAACACCAAAUCAACAGCGAUGUGGUAAUAACAUGCCAAACAACAACGAUGCCUGUUUGGACACACAGCUUGGAAUGGGACAUCAUGUGAUGGGAUCGGGAUCAGGAUCGGGAUAUACUAAUCCCCAACAUGGGACAGCUCAUUGCCCUGGAAGUAGCAAUGGUUUUGGAACAUAUCAGAUGUUUGGACAGAGUAACAUUCUUGUGGGUGGUGGUGAAGUGUCUAACACUUCUAAUGAUGCAAUUGAGAAAUGCCAUAGUUUGACAGAAUCAGGUGGUUUAAAGAACAGGAAGAGGAUAGUGGAUGGUCCACCGGAGGUUGUGGUGGAGCGGAGGCAACGCAGGAUGAUUAAGAACCGCGAAUCAGCAGCGAGGUCUAGAGCUAGAAAACAGUACAGGCCUAUACUGUGGAACUGGAAGUUGAGCUGAACCAGCUCAGGGAAGAGAAUGAGAAACUGAAGCAAAUGGUGACUGAAACCGAGCAAAAGCGAAAGCAAGAGGUAUUGAGAAGGAAACAAGCAACAAUGUCAACAAAGGCCCAGAAAUUAGCAGAUAAAUUGAAGACUAUAAGGAGGACAGUGAGCUCGGCUUGGUGAAUGUAAUUAAAAAAGGUGCAUGGAAUAAUGCAAUUUGGACCCAUAAUUAUGUACAUAUAGUUGGUGAAUAAGAGAACAUGUAAAAUAGUAGCA